Long non-coding RNA from Ziziphus jujuba (common jujube), 870 nucleotides. RefSeq lists it as uncharacterized. The record is from RefSeq and is a predicted model, not a curated record. The transcript has 5 exons. Lineage: Eukaryota; Viridiplantae; Streptophyta; Magnoliopsida; Rosales; Rhamnaceae.
UGUACCAUGAAAGUCCAAGGCUUAUAUGCGUACUAUAUACAGCUCCAACAUAUGGUCCAUGUAGGACUUUGAAGCCAAUUCUUAGUAAGGUAUGCAAAUAAAAAAAUGUUUCACUUUUGCAUGACGUUCAAUCUCAAUGCCACUAUCAACUCUUACAAUGAUUGAUGUCUAAUGUGAUUUGGAGGUGGCCAGAAAUAUUUGGGAUGACAUGAUGAAAAACCAAUUUUAUGUGGUAACAUCUCAUUGUGUGAAGAAACACAUGCUUUACUAUAUCUGUCUAUUUUAGUGUUGAUGCCUCAUAUAGAAUGCAGUAACCUCUUUUUAGUAACUUUCUUUUAUGUCAAGUGAUUGAUGAGUUUGAUCAAAAUGUACACUUUGUUGAAACUGAUAUUGAGGAAAAUCCAGAAAUAGCAUAAGCAGCUGGUAUUAUGGGUACACCAUGUGUUCAAUUUUUCAAAACAAGGAAAAUUUGAGGUUGUUUUUCUUCUAUACUCCUGGUGCUGGUCCAACUGUCAAAUCUGGUUCAAAGGGAAAGCGCCAUCGUUUGAUACUGACUAAAACUAACCUGAAAUUGGUGCAUAUUACAGAGCAUGUUUGAUAGAACCCAGUGGAGUUGGAAGGUUUGAAACAAGCAAACAUUCGAGAUGGCAUUGCAGUGGUGCAAUAUCUUGUCUGGUUGGAUAAGCAGGAGAUAUAUGGGGUUUCUGGUUACUUCUUGGAGGGAGACGAAGUGACUAAGAAAAAACAAUUGCAAACACUUAAACUGACAGAGGUGACUGCAAGCGAUAAGCUGGAGAGUUUUCGUGCAGUAAAAAAGGUCCUCAAGGGUCAUAUUGCACUUGGGAAUGCUCAAUUUCCUAAUGGAACCAA